CCCGGCUGCAGUGCCAUGCAUGUCUAAGUUUAACGACCCGGAACGAUGAAACUGCGAACGGCUCAUUAUAACAGUUAUAGUUUCUUUGGUUACUCGCUCCACGCCUAACUUUGUGAAUGAGGUAAUUCCUGUUGAGACGAUCCGGGGAGUAUUUGACUUCUCGGCCGUUGGCCGCAAGGCUGGUGAGAAAUGACAUUCUCUUGUGAAAAAGGAUGCCCCGACAAUUGAUGAAAGCGACGCUUUUUACAAGUAACCAAUGGGAAUUUCUGAUCUAUCAAUUUGUUGGUAGUAUCGAGGACUACCAAGAUUAUAACGGAUAACAAGGAAUUGGGGUUCGACAUCGGAGAGGGAGCUUUACAGAUGGCUACCACUUCUAAGGAAGGCAGCAGGCGCGUAAAUUACCCACUUUCGACUUGAAAAGGUAGUGACGACAAAUAACUCUUGGGGCCCUUUGGGUUGUCUUGAAGGAAUGAUUUAGAAGUAAAUUCUCUAAAAAAAUCACUUGGAGGGCAACUCUGGCGCCAGCGACCGCGGUAAUUCCACCUCCAAUAGUGA
RNAcentral lists this ribosomal RNA (555 nucleotides) under Entamoeba bovis. RNAcentral describes it as "SSU rRNA". It matches the Rfam family "Eukaryotic small subunit ribosomal RNA", at positions 38 to 599 of the family's 1831-position model. Lineage: Eukaryota; Evosea; Mastigamoebida; Endamoebidae. The record is from RNAcentral.